UGAGGAAUAUUGGUCAAUGGGCGAGAGCCUGAACCAGCCAAAUCGCGUGAAGGAAGACUGCCUUAUGGGUUGUAAACUUCUUUUAUACAGGAAUAAAAAAGGGGACGUGUCCCUUAUUGCAUGUACUGUAUGAAUAAGCAUCGGCUAACUCCGUGCCAGCAGCCGCGGUAAUACGGAGGAUGCGAGCGUUAUCCGGAUUUAUUGGGUUUAAAGGGUGCGCAGGCGGGCUUUUAAGUCAGCGGUGAAAUCUCGGGGCUUAACUCCGAAACUGCCGUUGAAACUGGGAGUCUUGAGUAUGGAUGAAGUAGGCGGAAUUCGUUGUGUAGCGGUGACAUGCUUAGAUAUAACGAGGAACUCCGAUUGCGUAGGCAGCUUACUAAGCCAUAACUGACGCUCAAGCACGAAAGCGUGGGGAUCAAACAGGAUUAGAUACCCUGGUAGUCCACGCCGUAAACGAUGAUUACUAGUUGUAUGCGAUAUACCGUAUGUGACUAAGCGAAAAGCGAUAAGU
This 511-nucleotide ribosomal RNA is filed under the name uncultured bacterium. RNAcentral describes it as "partial 16S ribosomal RNA". It matches the Rfam family "Bacterial small subunit ribosomal RNA", at positions 355 to 865 of the family's 1533-position model. The record is from RNAcentral.